GUUUGCCUUCGUUUUUAUUAAAAAACCUAUUCCGGCCUUUUCUACCUAAAACUUCCUGAACUUUCAUACAGUGUGAACCAUCAACCAAAAAGUUUUCUCAACAAAAAGUUAUUCUGAAAUGAAUACCACGAACCUCCAUUAUCUCCGACCCUGAAAAUUUCAGAGCAUUGGGAUUCAUAGGAAACAAGUGUCACAUAAAAAGAGGUAAUUGCUGAAAAAUUUAACUCCCUGCAACAAAUACUUCAAAAGUUAUGAAGGAAACUCUUUCCCCCGACUUUACGGCCCUGUAACUCGGAAAGGAAGCCUUUGUGGACAAAAUGCUAUAGAACUUUUUCAUCUUAUUUUUGUCUCAAAAUACCGUGGAUUUUCUUCGUGCACCAUUUUAGUUACACCGUAUACCUAUG
This 404-nucleotide long non-coding RNA is filed under the name Olea europaea subsp. europaea. Lineage: Eukaryota; Viridiplantae; Streptophyta; Magnoliopsida; Lamiales; Oleaceae. The record is from RNAcentral.